CUAGUUGGUGAGGUGACGGCUCACCAAGGCGACGAUCAGUAGCCGACCUGAGAGGGUGAUCGGCCACAUUGGAACUGAGACACGGUCCAAACUCCUACGGGAGGCAGCAGUGGGGAAUAUUGCACAAUGGGCGAAAGCCUGAUGCAGCAACGCCGCGUGAGCGAUGAAGGCCUUCGGGUCGUAAAGCUCUGUCCUCAAGGAAGAUAAUGACGGUACUUGAGGAGGAAGCCCCGGCUAACUACGUGCCAGCAGCCGCGGUAAUACGUAGGGGGCUAGCGUUAUCCGGAUUUACUGGGCGUAAAGGGUGCGUAGGCGGUCUUUUAAGUCAGGAGUGAAAGGCUACGGCUCAACCGUAGUAAGCUCUUGAAACUGGAGGACUUGAGUGCAGGAGAGGAGAGUGGAAUUCCUAGUGUAGCGGUGAAAUGCGUAGAUAUUAGGAGGAACACCAGUAGCGAAGGCGGCUCUCUGGACUGUAACUGACGCUGAGGCACGAAAGCGUGGGGAGCAAACAGGAUUAGAUACCCUGGUAGUCCACGCCGUAAACGAUGAGUACUAGCUGUCGGAGGUUACCCCCUUCGGUGGC
Molecule: ribosomal RNA, 583 nt
Filed under: uncultured bacterium
Lineage: Bacteria
Description: bacterial SSU rRNA
Rfam family: Bacterial small subunit ribosomal RNA
Source: RNAcentral